UGAAUACGAGAUGCUACGGCGUCGAAGCAGUCUAUGUCAUACUUCCAAGAAAAGCUUGCACUGUCAUAAACAAAUAAUGCCUGUACCAUAACCGACACAGGUGGGUAGGUAGAGUAUACUAAGGGGCGCGAGAUAACUCUCUCUAAGGAACUCGGCAAAAUGACUCCGUAACUUCGGGAGAAGGAGUGCCUUAUUUUAUAAGGUUGCAAUAACAAGAUCCAAGCAACUGUUUACCAAAAACACAGGUCUCCGCUAAGUCGUAAGACGAUGUAUGGGGGCUGACGCCUGCCCAGUGCCAGAAGGUUAAAGAAGUUGGUUAGCAUCCGCGAAGCUGAUAACUGAAGCCCUGGUGAACGGCGGCCGUAACUAUAACGGUCCUAAGGUAGCGAAAUUCCUUGUCGGGUAAGUUCCGACCCGCACGAAAGGCGUAAUGAUUUGGAUACUGUCUCAGAGAGGGGCUCGGUGAAAUAGACUUGUCUGUGAAGAUGCGGACUACCUGCACCAGGACAGAAAGACCCUAUGAAGCUUUACUGUAACUUGAAAUUGAAAUUGGACUUUACUUGCGCAGUAUAGGUGGGAGGCGUUGAGAAUAUUCUUGCGGGAAUGUUGGAGCCAUCAGUGAGAUACCACUCUUGUAAUGUUAGAUUUCUAACUUUGUAUCAUUAUCUGGUCAAAGGACAGUUUCAGGCGGGCAGUUUGACUGGGGCGGUCGCCUCCCAAACGGUAACGGAGGCGCACAAAGGUUUCCUCUGAACGGGUAGAAAUCGUAUCUAGAGUGUAAAGGCAUAAGGAAGCUUGACUGUGAGACCUACAAGUCGAGCAGGGACGAAAGUCGGUCUUAGUGAUCUGACGGUGCUGAGUGGAAAGGCCGUCACUCAGCGGAUAAAAGUUACUCUAAGGAUAACAGGCUGAUCUCCCCCAAGAGUUCACAUCGACGGGGAGGUUUGGCACCUCGAUGUCGGCUCAUCGCAUCCUGGGGCGGUAGUACGUCCCAAGGGUUGGGCUGUUCGCCCAUGAAAGCGGUACGCGAGCUGGGUUCAGAACGUCGUGAGACAGUUCGGUCCAUAUCCGGUGUAGGCGUUAGAAUAUUGAGAGGAGCCUUCUUUAGUACGAGAGGACCGAGAAGGACAUACCUCUGGUGUACCAGUUAUCGUGCCAACGGUAAACGCUGGGUAGCUAUGUAUGGAGUGGAUAACCGCUGAAAGCAUCUAAGUGGGAAGCCCACCUCAAGAUUAGUAUUCC
Molecule: ribosomal RNA, 1242 nt
Filed under: metagenome
Description: bacterial LSU rRNA
Rfam family: Bacterial large subunit ribosomal RNA
Source: RNAcentral